RNAcentral lists this ribosomal RNA (253 nucleotides) under uncultured bacterium. RNAcentral describes it as "partial 16S ribosomal RNA". It matches the Rfam family "Bacterial small subunit ribosomal RNA", at positions 524 to 776 of the family's 1533-position model. The record is from RNAcentral.
UACAGAGGUGGCAAGCGUUGCUCGGAAUUACUGGGCGUAAAGGGCGCGUAGGCGGUCUUGCAAGUCCUGUGUGAAAUCCCUCGGCUCAACUGAGGAACUGCACAGGAAACUGCUUGGCUUGAGUUCGGGAGAGGGAAGCGGAAUUCCUGGUGUAGCGGUGAAAUUCGUAGAGAUCAGGAAGAACACCAGUGGCGAAGGCGCUCUGCUAGGCCGCAACUGACACUGAGGGACGAAAGCUAGGGGAGCGAAUGGG